Molecule: long non-coding RNA, 4925 nt
Organism: Mugil cephalus (flathead mullet)
Lineage: Eukaryota; Metazoa; Chordata; Actinopteri; Mugiliformes; Mugilidae
Exons: 2
Source: RefSeq, a predicted model, not a curated record
ACCGGACCGAGGAGCGGAGCAAAAAUAUACCGCUGCUGUUGGACAUGGGAAAUCUUGUACAGUAUCAUCUGAAAAUAUAUUUUUCUUUAGAAAAGUCAAAUGGCCUUACUUUUAAGUCCACCGCCCUUUGAUUUUUUGCAGUGGAUUUUUCAUGGGAUUUGUCAUUUAAUGAGAUUUGAACAUACUGGAAAACAUGGCACUGACCAAACUCAUAUCGAUAUGUCAUGAGUCAUUACAACUUGUCUAAGCAGACGCCAAGAAAGCUGCCCAGAACUUAUUUACUAUUUAUUUUAAAGGCUACAACCUACACAUUACAGUUAAAAACAAGCCUAGUAUAUAUGUCUUUGUCCAUAGUUUAAAGAUAGUCCUGCUAUAAAUCCUCUUAUUACUGUUUUAAAAUACAUUAAAACACACAAUAAUGGCUCGGUUACUUACAUUGUUCAUUGUAGACACUACUACAGGGGUCUUCAAUGUUUUUCAGGCCACAGACCCCCAACAGAGAUUAAGUAGGGACCCCCUGCCUACUGUAUGUGUUCCAUGUUAAAGUAGUGCUAUUUAUAAAUAUACAUUAUUAAUAUUAUUAUUAUCGUCAUUUCCACUCAAUAUUAAGAUAUUCUAUUAAUGCACAGGUUCAAAUAUAUACAUAUAUUUUUUUUUUAUUCCAAACAUGUGCAAAAGUAGGGUUCAUUUCAGAUCUGGACUGAAUAGGCUCUCUUCAAAUCUGUGGGGCACUACUGCUUAAAUGAGGCCACUGAAAGUAAAUUCAGAUGAGCUUGUUCUCAGAUUUGCCCUUUAAAAAGUAAAUGACUCACAGGGAUGUUUACUUCACACCCCCUAAGAACAGCAUAUUAACAUUUUUUUAACGAGCCCUUAACCCAGAACAAAAUACUAAAUUUAUAUUAUAUAUAUAUAUAAAUAUAUUCGAGGCUGUGGGGAAGAAAGGGCCUUAAUAUAUAGUUGUUGUUAUGCAAGGCAAGCUGGUGUUAUAUAAACCCAGACUAAGCAGAGGUCAGAGUUUCCACCAACAAGGAUUAGACAAGAUCAGAGUUUGAUCCCUAAGUGGGAUCAGGAACCAUAAAGAGAUCCACUGUUGAAGCUGCACGUGAUUUUAGAUUCAGAGGUUAGAGGUUUGAACCCUGUGUAGAUACUACUGACGAUGCCUGACCUCGUAACUGAACUCCACCCUGUACUGUCUGCCCUGUUCUUUUCCUUUCUAUUGUUUCUGUUCCUACAUUUUCAGCACCCAGUGUGCUAUUUACUCAACUAAUUGUAGCCGAUAAGAUGAGCCAACUCUUCACUAAACUCCAGCAUCUCAUGGUUGGGAUCCAGCUUCCUGUUCUUGCACCAGAAUGUGGCAGAUGGUUUUAAAGUAGGCCCUCGACUUAAGAUGAAGGCAGGUGAAAGAAUUAAAUUCCAGCUUCAACUGGUGGUGGCUAGCUAACGAAACAAACACUCAUUUUCUGCCUUUCAAAACGGACUUCUUACUAGUUGGUACAAGCUGGUGUGUUUCAAAAAUAAUACCAUUACUGCACUUGACUGUUACACUUUCAUGGUAAAGGUCUAAAGCAAAAAUUGUACAUCUACGCUGAGUUGCCCUGAGAGUCAGCAUUUCAAUCCAGAAAAUGGAAAUGCAGAGCCUCUUGUGUUAGCUCUACCAAGACAUGCAGUUUGAAAAUAAGCAGAUAUGUAAAUAUGUAACAGAAAAUGCACUUACGCUAAAGACUAAUGACUGCAAAUGUAUCGGCAUCUCUCAUAUGCUCUUUGGCUGGAGAAGACAAACACACUAUCCAUUCAUCCUUCCGUUUUAAUCUCAUGCAAUCAUGCUGUGACUAAGGCUUAUUUCUUUCCAUUUUCCGUUAGACAGCAAAUUCUAAUCAUUCCUCAGUGUGCACAGAGACCCACGGCAAUUUUAAAAGCUCCAGCCACUUGGCCUGACACACAUUCUCGUCUUGCCUCAGCCAAAGAAACUGCGGCGCGGUUCAAAAGCCCAGGGGAAACCAACUCCUUUUUUUAGAAAGGAGCAGGCUUCAGCUGUGAUUGAGCAGUGAUUUGUUGAAAUUUAACAAGCAAGCGAGGACGUUCCGGCAGCGUUACUGUUUCCCCAUUAUAAGGAGAGAGGCAUCAUUAGAAGAGGGUAGUGCCGUUUGCUUUCAGCUCCCUUCAGAUCGCCGACGUGGUUAUUGGAGAAAUUAGCAGGGAGGCGGGAAGAGGACAAGCUGGUGAGAAAUGAGAAAAGACGAGGGAAGAUGAAGCGGCGGGAGGUCAAAUGUGAUGUAGAGUUAGGUAGAAGGAGGAAAUGAGUGACACCUUUUACCCUAAAAUACUAAUUAUUUAAAACGAAUCAGCCCUCAGAGGUCGUCUUAUACCUUCUAAGGCUACUCUUUAUGCCACUGUGCCGUCUUGGCUGACCUAUCAACGUGUCUUCCUGCAUCAUGUAGUCUUAAGUCAGUCCGGUCUUAAAGGCACGUGUUUUUGCAUAUGCAUGUGUUUGGAUGUUGAGAUUCAGCCUCUGUGAACUGUGUCACCGGCCUGUCAGUCCUCCGCAGAGUCAACGAGGCGUGAUGCCCCUUCUCCAGCUUCAGAUCCAGCUUUGACUUCCCGCCUUCCUCGCUUGAUCUUCCAGAGGGAGGUGUGCGUCCCUCAGAGGCUCUCGGAGCGGUCGCGGCAGAUCGGAUCUCCGUGGCUAACUUUAUUAGAAGAUGAUCGCGCAGACAGAGUGACCCAACUGUCAGCUGUCGGGCGCAAGGGGACAGGCGGAGAAAUGAGAAGGAAAUAGUUCGUCAUCAGGAUCAAAACGAGUGAGGUGAAAGAGGGGGAGAUGUGGAGGACAGGCUGAGGAUAAUGAAGCAGGAAACGCUCGUCUUCGUCACAGCUUCCAGCGUGCUUCCUCGAGACACCUGAUAAGGGUGGGAGCGAGGAAAUGAGUGGACAAGAGUGGAGAGAAGGAUGAUAUUUGACAGGAAGAGUCGCAGCCUCUUAUGUCGAGACGAGUGGGAAUGGAAUGAGUCGUGCACUCGUACAAACUUCAGUGAGAGGCUAUUAUGAGAGGAAGACCAAUGAGGCCAGAAUAGAAAAGUGUGCAGGAGUAAAAGAAAAAAGGGAAAAGGGUAAUUAAUGCAUGGCUAAACACUGUAAAUAAAUUAAGGCGCUUAAAGGGGUAAAAGCAGAUUCUUUUUUUUUUUACUUCAAAUCAUAGAAGAGACGCAGAAGGAGGAGAAAUUAAUACAUUCAUCUGAAUAAAUAUGCGUACGUUUGUUUUCAUGGACGAUGUGCACAUACAUUAAACAAGGUCAAAGACAUGAAUAGACGUUCGCAUCAGAUUUAGCAGAAAGACAAUUUCUUUCUGUUCCAUCUGUUUCCAUCUCUGAAAAUAAAAAAAAUAAAAAAAAAAACGACAUCCAACACAGACCUACAGGACGUACAGAGGUGACUACAUGACACCACGCUACAAACAUUGCACAAAAAUACACAAACACUACACACAAAACACAAUCUAAUCCUCUAACUGAGGCAUAUAUACAUAAUACAAACAAUAGCACAUUAUACUGGGGGAUGCACGAUGUAUGGAAGAUUGGUCUUGGGAAAUAAAAGUUAUUAUCUCUUUAUUCGGUCGGUUGAGGUGCAGGGGACCAUGACUCUCCAGCAGUGACCUGAAGCAUCUACUCCGCAGUGUAAUUGGUGGAUUCUUUCUGUGGAAGCAUGAACCUUACAGUAUCACACACAAUCAUAUGAUACUGACGGCAUCGUUUGGACUCCUCAAAGAAGAAGGCACGUACUCCAGUAUCUAUUACUGCAGACGCCUUCCUACCUGGCAGUCUGGGAUUUCUUUACACCGCUCCAUGUUGCUGCUGACAAGACCUCUCUGUACAGUCACGCUAAAGUGAAGGAUAACACCUCUGUACUUGUCUCCGUCUCCUGGUGCUAGUUAACAACUCAGCUCCUUAACAACAAGAUUCUCAUCACCAACCUUCACCGGAGAAGCACAAGAUAAAAGAAACAUCUCUGUCAUCCAGAGAAACUGUGACUUUUUUUCUAAAAAAAACUCCAGGGAAAGUGGAUUGGAAUACUUUACUCAUUACAGGUUAAAGGUGCAACGACAUCUUUAAAAAGAAGAGGAUUUGCAUCAAGAGACAUCGUUAGAAUGGAACAGGAGAACAGUGGACGAUCGGUUAUUAAAAUCCUUUUCCUUAUCCGUGAUGACCCUGGAUCUUGUUUGGUGAAGACAGUUUAAAAUUUGGUUUGAGUGUCUGUACUGGUGAUCGAUUUCUUGUGUGGACGAAAUGGGGCCAGAUGAGACAUUCAAGCUGCAACCUCUAAUACAAAACCAGUGUAAUUUUUUUUUUUUUUUUUUUGAGAAAACCAAAUUGUUGUUUGGCUUGUUUGGUUCUGGAUGAUGUGUUUGUACUUCUAAUAAAGAGGCUUCACUGUGGAAGCUGGAGAAGUGGAAAUUAUAUCUUCCAAAUAUUUACAUAGUGCAUAUGAGACAUUUGACAUGUUUUUUUUGUUUUUUGUUUUUUUCAGACCUUUACUAUCACACUGGAUGUGAACCGAUCCCUAUACAAAAAGGUGAAUGCACAGCAAUGAUAUGACUGUAAACAACGUUGUGUGUGACUUAGUUGUCAUGCAUGGCUCUCUGUCCCUGCCUGUUCACGAAUACAUUAUAUAUAUAAUAUAUGUAUGUAUAUAUUAUAUGCACCUGCAAAUGACAUGCUCAUAUAUGUAUCGCAUAACAUGCAAUUAUGUUUAGGGGCUUUGCUUUUCUUUCUCUCUAUCAACAUUUUAAGUUUUAUUUAAGAAUAAUCAUCUUUGUACAUUUUUCCAGUCGUGUCAUGCUUUUUAAAAAAUAGUUUUGAAAAGUUUGCCGGUUCUACUGUACAUCUCUGAAUCACGUGUAAUGUAACUUAAUUAAACUAAUAAGAAUGUGA